RNAcentral lists this microRNA (23 nucleotides) under Ictalurus punctatus (channel catfish). RNAcentral's name for it is "ipu-miR-196d". Its record names the gene ipu-miR-196d. The record is from miRBase by way of RNAcentral. Lineage: Eukaryota; Metazoa; Chordata; Actinopteri; Siluriformes; Ictaluridae.
UAGGUAGUUUUAUGUUGUUGGGC